This 389-nucleotide microRNA precursor is filed under the name Arabidopsis thaliana (thale cress). RNAcentral's name for it is "partial MIR172b". Lineage: Eukaryota; Viridiplantae; Streptophyta; Magnoliopsida; Brassicales; Brassicaceae. The record is from RNAcentral.
GACGGCUACAAAUACCUAAAGCUUGAGAAAGAAACUUGAAGAUAUUGAUUGAAGUCUGGAUCGACCUUUGGUAAUGCUAUGAUCAAGAACAACAAGAUCGUGAGCACAGAUCGGCCAGUUCGGUCACUUUUUAAAAGAGAGAUGUUAUAUUGUUAAUUUGUUAUUAUCAGGUAUAAUAAAUACAGAAUAGUUCGUCCAGAGACCAGACAUUUUAUAGUUUCAAUUUUAUGACAGUCUUGUAAUAAUAUUUGUUUAAUAGUGUGUCACCUUCUAUUUCUGGGUUAUUACUUGAUCCCGAAAUUUUCUUAUUGUUCUAAUUUUGUAAUAUUAGAAAUUUGGUUUUCUUGCCAAAUCAAAUCAAACAUUACGGUGUGUUGUACAUUGUACCA